Molecule: ribosomal RNA, 750 nt
Filed under: Photobacterium sp. GB-56
Lineage: Bacteria; Pseudomonadati; Pseudomonadota; Gammaproteobacteria; Vibrionales; Vibrionaceae
Also listed under: 2 other names
Description: bacterial LSU rRNA
Rfam family: Bacterial large subunit ribosomal RNA
Source: RNAcentral
GAAAGGCCAAUCAAACUCGGAGAUAGCUGGUUCUCCCCGAAAGCUAUUUAGGUAGCGCCUCGGACGAAUACUACUGGGGGUAGAGCACUGUUAAGGCUAGGGGGUCAUCCCGACUUACCAACCCUUUGCAAACUCCGAAUACCAGUAAGUACUAUCCGGGAGACACACGGCGGGUGCUAACGUCCGUCGUGAAGAGGGAAACAACCCAGACCGCCAGCUAAGGUCCCAAAGUUAUAGCUAAGUGGGAAACGAUGUGGGAAGGCUCAGACAGCCAGGAUGUUGGCUUAGAAGCAGCCAUCAUUUAAAGAAAGCGUAAUAGCUCACUGGUCGAGUCGGCCUGCGCGGAAGAUUUAACGGGGCUAAGCUAUACACCGAAGCUGCGGCAAUGAAGUUUACUUCAUUGGGUAGGGGAGCGUUCUGUAAGCCGUUGAAGGUGAAUCGUAAGGUUUGCUGGAGGUAUCAGAAGUGCGAAUGCUGACAUGAGUAACGAUAAAGGGAGUGAAAAACUCCCUCGCCGGAAGAUCAAGGGUUCCUGUCCAACGUUAAUCGGGGCAGGGUAAGUCGACCCCUAAGGCGAGGCCGAAAGGCGUAGUCGAUGGGAAACGGGUUAAUAUUCCCGUACUUCUUAUAAUUGCGAUGGAGGGACGGAGAAGGCUAGGUGAGCCUGGCGACGGUUGUCCAGGUCCAAGUAUGUAGGCUGAUGGUUUAGGCAAAUCCGGACCAUCUUAAGGCUGAGAUACGAUGUCGAGU